UGUACGGCUCCGGCCUGGUUCCUCCCGGCACCGGCGUGCUGCUCAACGACGAGAUGGACGAUUUCGCGCUCAAGCCCGGCACGCCCAAUGCGUUCGGGGUGAUGGGCUACGACGCCAAUGCGCCGAAGCCGGGCAAACGCAUGCUCAGUUCGAUGACGCCCACCUUCAUGGAAUCCGCGGACAAGGUGGCCGUGCUCGGCACGCCGGGUGGCAGCCGCAUCAUCACCAUGGUGCUGCUGGGCAUCCUGGGGUAUGACGCGGGACUCUCCGCGCAGGAAGUCGCGGCGCUGCCGCGUUACCACCACCAGUGGCUGCCCGACGUGAUUUCGGCCGAAAGCGGCGCAUUCACGCCACAGGUCGCCCAGGCCUUGAAGCAGAUGGGCCAUGCGGUGGAUCUGCCGGGCGAUAGCGCGGCAGGCGGGCGCGGCUCCAGCCACGUGUGGGGAAACCUGGAAACGGUGCUGUGGGACCGCAAGCUGAACAUACUGUCCGGUGGCAGCGAUCCGCGCAGUCCGGUGGGUAAGGCCAGUGUCGAACUGACGCCUGUGUCCUCUGGCGAAUAAUCCCUGCGGCAAACGGCCGUCCGGGUGGCGUCAUCAGGGAUAGAAUCCGCAACGCUCCCACCCAUUGGCAGGAACCCCGCGUGGCGGACAACGAGAAAAAACCGGUCAUCACCCAUCUGCCUGCGAUCCUCACGGGCAGCGCGGCGUUGCUCGCCGCGUUGACUACGGUCUACAUCAACAUCCGCAACGAUCUGAAAGGCGAUGCCGGCACGCCGCCCGCGAUUGUCGCGCCGGUCAAACCGGUGGAAGCGAAGCCGGAAGCACCGGCGGGUCCGCAGGAACUGCGCCUCCAGCUCAAGCGCGUCGCCGUGCAGCACGACGGCGCGCUGGGCAAUGCCGACUGGCGCUUCGCCAUCGAGGCCGACGGGCAACCGCUGUUCGUGUUCGAGCAGUACUCGAUGACGUCAGAAGGCGGCCGCAACAUCGUCGUCGUCGGUGAAGACCGCGAUGCCAGCGCCACGCUGCAGUUGCCGGCAGGCAAGCGUAUUCCCGUCACCAUCAAGGGCUGGCGGGGCGGAUGGUUGAAGAAAUCCGAAGCGCCGCAGGUGCAGGGUGAAGGCUGGCUUUCGGCCGCCGGCACCUUGGCGCCGAUUUCGGUGAGGGCCGAAGACGAGAAGAAGGGCGCAUUCACUUUCUAUUUUUCGGCGGUUGCGCAGAAAGACUGAGCAGCUCACGCGGGUAGGAUUUUGGCUCCUGCAGGUUGCCGGUUACAGGUUAGGAGGCGGGGAUAUACUCCUGGCAUGAAGCUCUGGUCGAUCCUAGGCAAUUCGCAGAAACUCGAUGGCGGCGCGAUGUUUGGCAACGCCCCGCGUGCGAUGUGGGAAAAAUGGUCGCCGCCCGACGAAGAGAACCGCAUUUCGUUGGCCUGCCGUGCGCUGCUGGCCAGCCCGCUCAAUGGCAGGACGGUGCUGUUCGAAACGGGCAUCGGCGCUUUCUUCGAGCCGAAGUUGCGCGAACGCUACGGCGUGCAGGAACCGCAGCAUGUGCUGCUCGAUUCCCUGCGAGAUGCCGGUUUCGAUCACGGCGACAUCGAUGUCGUCGUCCUGAGUCAUCUCCACUUCGACCACGCCGGUGGUUUGCUGGCGCCAUGGUCGGAAGGCAAGGCGCCUGAAUUACUGUUUCCCAACGCCACCUAUGUCGUCGGCGCGCAGCAUUGGCAACGCGCGCUGCAUCCGCACCCGCGCGAUCGCGCGAGUUUCAUCCCCGAACUGCCGGGCUUGCUGCAGGCCAGUGGUCGUCUUGAGAUAGUCGAGGG
Molecule: unclassified non-coding RNA, 1818 nt
Filed under: uncultured fungus
Lineage: Eukaryota; Fungi
Description: sequence contains 18S rRNA gene, ITS1, 5.8S rRNA gene, ITS2, 28S rRNA gene
Source: RNAcentral